UCCACCGCCUCGGCCUCGGCCAAGAAGAUAAUCGUCAAGCACGUGACGGUCAUCGGCGGCGGGCUGAUGGGCGCCGGCAUUGCCCAGGUUGCUGCAGCAACUGGUCACACAGUAGUGUUGGUAGACCAGACAGAGGACAUCCUGGCAAAAUCCAAAAAGGGAAUUGAGGAAAGCCUUAGGAAAGUGGCAAAGAAGAAGUUUGCAGAAAACCCUAAGGCCGGCGAUGAAUUUGUGGAGAAGACCCUGAGCACCAUAGUGACCAGCACGGAUGCAGCCUCCGUUGUCCACAGCACAGACUUGGUGGUGGAAGCCAUCGUGGAGAAUCUGAAGGUGAAAAACGAGCUCUUCAAAAGGCUGGACAAGUUUGCUGCUGAACAUACAAUCUUUGCCAGCAACACUUCCUCCUUGCAGAUUACAAGCAUAGCCAAUGCCACCACCAGACAAGACCGAUUCGCUGGCCUCCAUUUCUUCAACCCAGUGCCGGUCAUGAAACUUGUGGAGGUCAUUAAAACACCAAUGACCAGCCAGAAGACAUUUGAAUCUUUGGUAGACUUUAGCAAAGCCCUAGGAAAGCAUCCUGUUUCUUGCAAGGACACUCCUGGGUUUAUUGUGAACCGCCUCCUGGUUCCAUACCUCAUGGAAGCAAUCAGGCUGUAUGAACGAGGUAUCCUUCUGACCUAGGCCAGGAGCAGCAGGCCUCAGCUCCUGGCGCCACUGUCUGGAAUUCUCAGUGUCUCUAGGAGGGGUCGGGCCGUGCACAAUGGAGGAAGCAGUGUCUGUUUUCUAGCUUUGUGAGCUCAGCUGCACCCUGAGCCCUGGUACCUUUUUCACUGUUUUCCCAGGGCCUCCUGGCUUCCCUGUGAGGCCUCUGAGAAAGGUUUCUGGAACUCCCACCACCCCCACUACAGUCCCAGCCAGAGCAAUUGCAUGGCCGGCCCAGAUUGAUAUCCUGGAUCUCUGCUUUUGAUUAAAAGGUGACGCAUCCAAAGAAGACAUUGACACUGCUAUGAAAUUAGGAGCCGGUUACCCCAUGGGCCCAUUUGAGCUUCUAGAUUAUGUCGGACUGGAUACUACGAAGUUCAUCGUGGAUGGGUGGCAUGAAAUGGAUGCAGAGAACCCAUUACAUCAGCCCAGCCCAUCCUUAAAUAAGCUGGUAGCAGAGAACAAGUUCGGCAAGAAGACUGGAGAAGGAUUUUACAAAUACAAGUGAUGUGCAGCUUCUCCGGCUCUGAGAAGAACACCUGAGAGCGCUUUCCAGCCAGUGCCCCGAGUGCCUGUGGGAAUGCUCUUUGGUCAGACAUUCCCUCACACAGCACAGUUUAAUAAAUGUGCAUUUUGAUUGUAAUCUAUCGAAGUGAUUAUUACACCAGUUACAGCAGUAAUAGAUUCUCCAUUAAGAAAUAAUUCCCUUUUUUAGUCUGUUCAUUUCUGUGUAUUUUCUAAACAGCUUUACACCCUUGGUGCCUUGGAGCAAACAUGUUUUUUGAACCUUGUCAUUUUUGUGAAGAAUUGCCUGGAUUCCUUCUCUCAUCAACGGGAAAGUACUUCCUCUGAGAGUGCGAGUGCACCAUGCUCACUGUUGCUGCGUGGGAGAGUCACAAGCCACUGGCAAGCAAGUGGUAUAGUCUGUGAAGCACUGCAGCGAGCAGCACCUGGAUCUUGCCUUUAUGAGAACAUUUUACUACCUGCAGCUUUGAGUCUUGCCCUACAUUUUGGGCAUGACAUAAGAUGUGUCUUUAUUCAGCUCAUCGUGAAGAUGCUGCUGCAGAAUGGGUCAGCAUAUCUCUGUUUGCAUGGUUUGCAGGAGGUCGGUUUUCAUGGUCAUUCAGUUCCACAGAUCUGAAUGAUUACUGUCUGUCUGUGUCUUUUUUCCAUGAGAAAUCACUGUUGCAAAUUGCCUAUAAAUUGACUCUACUAAACUAACAAUGUUUCAGUCUGAAAAUUUGAAUUGAAAAAAAUGUAUAAUAUAAAAU
RNAcentral lists this small RNA (1973 nucleotides) under Pan troglodytes (chimpanzee). RNAcentral's name for it is "retained intron". Lineage: Eukaryota; Metazoa; Chordata; Mammalia; Primates; Hominidae. The record is from RNAcentral.